RNAcentral lists this ribosomal RNA (451 nucleotides) under uncultured bacterium. RNAcentral describes it as "partial 16S ribosomal RNA". It matches the Rfam family "Bacterial small subunit ribosomal RNA", at positions 29 to 523 of the family's 1533-position model. The record is from RNAcentral.
AGCGAACGCUGGCGGCAGGCCUAACACAUGCAAGUCGAGCGGCCGUAGCAAUACGGCAGCGGCAGACGGGAUAGUAACACGUGGGAACGCGCCCUUCGGUUCGGAAUAACUCAGGGAAACUUGAGCUAAUACCGGAUACGCCCUUACGGGGAAAGAUUUAUUGCCGAAGGAACGGCCCGCGUCGGAUUAGCUAGUUGGUGAGGUAAUGGCUCACCAAGGCGACGAUCCGUAGCUGGUCUGAGAGGAUGACCAGCAUCACUGGGACUGAGACACGGCCCAGACUCCUACGGGAGGCAGCAGUGGGGAAUAUUGGACAAUGGGCGCAAGCCUGAUCCAGCCAUGCCGCGUGGAUGAUGAAGGCCCUAGGGUUGUAAAGUCCUUUUAACGGGGAAGAUAAUGACGGUACCCGUAGAAUAAGCCCCGGCUAACUUCGUGCCAGCCGCCGCCGUAA